Acanthopagrus latus (yellowfin seabream) is the source of this 3951-nucleotide long non-coding RNA. RefSeq lists it as uncharacterized. Lineage: Eukaryota; Metazoa; Chordata; Actinopteri; Spariformes; Sparidae. The transcript is spliced from 7 exons. The record is from RefSeq and is a predicted model, not a curated record.
GUAAGGUUUUAUUCAGCCACAUUUUGACUGAACUAGACGACAAAUUGCUCCUCACACAGCAGGAUAUCUUUGGUUUCUCUUGUCCUUUGUUUCAGCUAAUGAUGGGUACAUUCACUGGUGAAGUGUAGACUGCUUGUGUUAUUUCAGACUCAAUUUAUAAACUAACGUUAGCUGCAGUUGCUCUCUGUUAGUGGCACAGUGUCCUUUACAGAGAAAUCCACAAUCCAGCAGCUUUAAACAACUUGAACAAAAUGUCCACAUUCUUGUAUAAGCAGCUGAGAGAGAUGGGUCGGUUUUUAUUUAUUAUAUAUUUUCAUUAAAAUCUGCUCAAAACGUGAUUAAAUAGAAUUAAAAUAAAUGAAUUGCUACAAAUUGUGUAAGUAGUCACAAAGACAGAUUCCCCCCUUUACUGGCCUCUUUGGGCAGCUCAUACAACUGUACACUCCUACAUCGUCCUGUUUUGUUUUGGGUUUUUUUGUUUGUUUGUUUGUUUUCUUUAAAUGAAAAGAAAAAUCUAAUUUACUUGUUGCAGACGUGAUUGUGUUUAUCUCCGCAGAGUCCGCCUGUGUGACUGCUGUGGCUGUGAUCACACUCUGCAGCUCUGCUCUGUUGGAGCUGAAUAUCUGCCUCAGCAGUGCACAGAUGGAAAUCACAGUAAGUCAUGAAAUGUAGGACUUUGAAGAAUCCUCUUCAGCUCCUCCGCGCUCCGUACGGGGAAGCAGCGUACGACUCUCAUCGUGCUUUUUGUACAGCGUUGCAGCGGUGCGUCACACCUUCAUGCGAGCUUUCACUAAAUGAAGCAGAGGAGCCAGUUGUUGUUCACUUCAAGUUUGCAAGAGUCCAGCCCCUCCCACCUCUUGCCGCUCACCAAGCUCCACCCACAACAAUGGGUAGAAAAGACGGCAGACGCCCUGAGCUACUCCACCAGGAUCAAGAGCUCUCGACUCGACUCGACAUUGUGAGUCCGCCUGUGUGACUGCUGUGGCUGUGAUCACACUCUGCAGCUCUGCUCUGUUGGAGCUGAAUAUCUGCCUCAGCAGUGCACAGAUGGAAAUCACAGUAAGUCAUGAAAUGUAGGACUUUGAAGAAUCCUCUUCAGCUCCUCCGCGCUCCGUACGGGGAAGCAGCGUACGACUCGCAUCGUGCUUUUUGUACAGCGUUGCAGCGGUGCGUCACACCUUCAUGCGAGCUUUCACUAAAUGAAGCAGAGGAGCCAGUUGUUGUUCACUUCAAGUUUGCAAGGAUGGCUUUCUUGGGUUUCUUGUCCUCCCUGGUGAUCACAGCAGCAUCCCUGUGCAGAGUUGUCAUCAGAGCACAUUUUUCCUUUUCUUUGGACAGCAGGACACAGGAGUGUCCUCACUGCCAGUUUCCUGGCCUCUCUCCUCCUCACCAGUGUGGUGAUCACAUAUGUAAUCAAUAUCCGCACUUAUGGUAUAUCGACAUGCCAUGGUGCUGCCACACAAUGAACUGUGAGCAAGGCCUCAAAAAAGCAUUUAUAUAGGCUGCCAAAGCUGUGAGAAAAGUUCAAUAUUAUUGAAACAAUGCUGCAACUUUAUGAGAGCAGGUGAUGUUCCCGCGGGAGAGAGACUCUACUGGGCUAAGGUUCCCAUGGUGGUUGCCUGGGACCCAAGGUGUGUGUGUGUGUGUGUGUGUGUGUGUGUGUGUGUGUGUGUGUGUGUGCGCGCAUGUGUGCGUGUGUGCGUGUGUGUGUGUGUUGGCAUGUGUGUGUGUGUGUCCAUAUGACAAAUGAGGAUGUACCUGAGAUCAGUUUUUUACACUAAAUGUAGUCUCCCCCAUUCAUUUCUAAUGACUGGUCAUUUUUGACCGGGAACACCAAGAGUGUACAAAAGGUGAAUAAAAUACACAAAAUUGUAUGUAAAUAAAUACUAUUUAUUUUGUGUGUUGAAAUCCUCUUUGUGGACAAAGUCAUGGACUCUUAGGUCAGUCUGAUCAAAUUAAGUACAUUUUUCACAGAUAAAACUUUUAAAUCGGUCAGAUUUGACCGGAACACAACAUGAGGGUUAUGACGUGUGUGCGGCUGUUAUCUGUCUCCUCUGCUCAUUAAAGCUCAUGUCCAAACUUUAACCUGUCGUGAUGUCCUGGCCCGUUGUUCAAGGUUUUCUUUCCCUUGUUCAGAACAAAUGUGCAUACAAACAUUUCAAACGCACCAAACUGACACUAUCCUCUGUGCAUUUGUUGUCGCACAUUAACGAUGGACACUACAGUGAGCACACAACAGACUCGUGCCGGCUCCAUUACUAAUUACAUUCAGAGUGUGUACAGUGAAAUAAUCGCCACUGAUUAUCAAUGAGGGUCCAUAUUGAUCCAGACUACAGACACUGAGCACGGAGUCAAAAGCUGCAGUGACAGAGGAAACUCUCCUCCUAAAGCUUCUCCAGCACAUGACGGUGUGUGAGCCUGUGUGCGCUCUGGAUGGCACAGAGGCUCACCGCGCCCACCAAGCAAACACGCUAACUGUACAAACGACCGGUCGACCAAGUGUUGUGUUGUGUUGUGUUGUGUUGUGUCUUGUGUUGCUUUGAGGAUGUGUUGUGUUUUUCACUAAAGUCAGUUCUGGUGCGAACUUUGCUUGUACGAAAACAGUAGCUGCUGCUGAUCCACACAAAGGUAGUUUUACACACAAACAUACACGCUCGAUAAAAGAGCACCUGAUCAGUCUCCACCAAUCAAAUCACACUGCAGCCCAUAAAGCCUGCCAAUAUGUUCCCUCUCUUGAGCAGCGAUGGAUUUCGCGUUAAGAGUUAUUACUGCGGUGCGUCGGCACUUUAACCUGUUUGAAAUAAGGCUGCUCUUUGACGAGCCUCUCCCGAGGGGGAACCCUCCCAUCGCACCGAUGCAAUAAGAACCAUGACGUUUUAUACAACCUAUGACACCCGCGCUCAUCUCUCAAGCUUAUCUGAAAAUAUUCACGUCGGUGGCAUACAAACCGCCACGUUAUCCACGAAAACCAUUAUUACGCAGCAGCAUUAGUGUGAAUGAGGACGUUUCUACAUAGCGCUAUGCGCACGUAUGGAAUCUGACGCUCAGUGUCCACAGGGCGAUCUUGGUCAUGGGUAGAAUGCCCAGAAUAUACACCUGGCAACAUACAUGCGAAGACCUUCUUUUAAAAGCUGCAAGAAUUGUUUGUCCUACUAGCGACAGAGGCACAUAUAACCAGCCGCCAUGUCACCUGCUAUGUAAUAAAGGUUUAACAGAGUUUGAACUGUUUUGCAGUUUUGUUUCAUUUGCAAACAACACUUAUAAGAUGUAACAAGAUGUGCGUUUUGUCAAAUUGGAGAAAAACUACAGAAAAACUACAGAUAAUAUGGCCUAUGACUCUGCACAUACACCGUUAUAGGUCAUCUAAUAAAGACGCAAUAAACCAUAAUAUGUAUCAAAUUAAACAACUAGAAAUGUGUUCUACAUUAGAUAGUCAGCAACGACAAACUAAGAUGAGUUCACGUUAAACGUUAAAAAUGUCUAAUUUGUAUCAAAUUAGACAACAACUAGAAAUGUGUUCUGUAUUAGAAAAUAAUAAAACCUGUUUUAUCCUGAUAUUUUUAAACUAACAAUCAUAACAAUCUCAUCACAUUUUCAUUAUUAGUCUCUAUUAGUCUUAUGUAUAGCACACACCAAGCAUCCACAUCGGCCUUUUUUAUUAUUAAAAUGUAACAGUGGUCACAUAUACUUCUCUUCACUGUUCAGAUGCAGUUUAAAAUAUUUCAGCACCAGCCCAGUGACACAGCAUCAGGUGCUCUUGUCCCUCUACCUCAGCACAGCAGAGUGGCACAGCAUCAGGACUAAAGGCACCAACAGACCUGCUGACUGGCCAUCUCCUCUGACAAAGUGAUAUGAGAGCAGCAGAGAGGUCUCGGGUCAGGACCUUGUUGGGCUCUGGUUGAUCUUGAGUUUCGAUCGAGAGGAACCAGGUGGAGAGAGGUGAUGAUUCAC